RNAcentral lists this ribosomal RNA (553 nucleotides) under uncultured bacterium. Its description in RNAcentral is "bacterial SSU rRNA". It matches the Rfam family "Bacterial small subunit ribosomal RNA", at positions 100 to 671 of the family's 1533-position model. The record is from RNAcentral.
GGACGGGUGAGUAACGCGUGGGCAACCUGCCCUGUACCGGGGGACAACAGCCAGAAAUGGCUGCUAAUACCGCAUAAGCCUGCUGUGCCGCAUGGCACAGCAGGGAAAACCACGGUGGUACAGGAUGGGCCCGCGUCUGAUUAGUUAGUUGGCAGGGUAACGGCCUACCAAGACAACGAUCAGUAGCCGGCUUGAGAGAGUGGACGGCCACAUUGGGACUGAGACACGGCCCAGACUCCUGCGGGAGGCAGCAGUGGGGAAUAUUGCACAAUGGGGGGAACCCUGAUGCAGCAAUGCCGCGUGGGUGAAGAAGCACUCCGGUGCGUAAAGCCCUGUCAGCAGGGAAGAAAAUGACAGUACCUGGACAAGAAGCCCCGGCUAACUACGUGCCAGCAGCCGCGGUAAUACGUAGGGGGCAAGCGUUAUCCGGAUUUACUGGGUGUAAAGGGAGCGCAGGCGGCGUGGCAAGUCAUAUGUGAAAACCCGGGGCCCAACCCCGGGAGUGCAUUUGAAACUGCCAUGCUGGAGUGCCGGAGAGGUAAGCGGAAUUCCU